Aquila chrysaetos chrysaetos is the source of this 1065-nucleotide long non-coding RNA. RefSeq lists it as uncharacterized. NCBI's taxonomy places the organism in Eukaryota, Metazoa, Chordata, Aves, Accipitriformes, Accipitridae. The record is from RefSeq and is a predicted model, not a curated record. The transcript has 5 exons.
CCCGUCAGCGCGUGCGGAGCGCCUGCGUCAGCGCGUACGGCGCCACGGCCCGGCGCGGAACCUUGGGCGGCGCGCGCUGCUUCCGGCCGUUUAACCGCCAUGGCGGGAGCCGCGCCUCAGGGAAACUCAUCCGGUGGCUGUGGGAGGGAGAACGGUGAAGGCAGCGGGCCCGAUGGAUGAUUAGAUAUAUUCUUGGGCUGUAUCUGUCCCCAGGACUAAUCCUACCUUUGAGGAAUCCGACCCUGUCCAACAGUCUGGAGACAGAGAGCCCUGGUCCAGAGUUUACAGAAAAAUCUGCAGUUCUUCAGGCACAGAGCUGUGUGGUGGCCCAGCUCCUGCAGAAGUCGCCCUGGCUCCUUGCUGAUCUCUCCUCAGUAUCGAAGAUUCUCUAAAACCUGGUGAUUAGUGACAGCAGUGAACUGCUCACAAAGUUGUUUCAGGAGGAGGCGGAGGAUGGGAAACCUCAUGGGAGGCCCCAUGCUGAUCAUGAUGAUGACUAGUGUGUCCACUAGAAACAGAGCCAAAGAAAACUGGACAGAUGAAGCUUUCCACUGGAGCAAAAGGCGAGGCGUGAGAGUGAGUUGCCGUCAUGAAAACCUGCCAUGCAACAGUGAAUACUUAAAGAUCACGUACAUCAGCUAUGAAAUACUAACUAGUAAGGAGCAUUCCACUUACUUACCCCAGAUAAAAGUCCCUAUUGCUACAUGACUCAAGGCUAUAUCACGAGGAUCUUCUACCAUAGUGCCUAUAUCAUGAAGAAUUUAGCCUAUAAUUUCCUGAGCCGAUCUUUCCUGGUAUGUACAGCCAAUGCCUUCGAUAGUGGCUUAGGAAGGUGAACACCCCCAGUUUAAGAACCUUUUCUCUGGUUCUGUAGAUCUGUUAGCAGCACACCUGCUGUAAACUUACCUUGCAAACUAUCAUGAACAUGGUGAAAAAGAAGAUGAGGUUGGCUUCAGAGAUAGGGAGCCAGUGAGUUUGUUGCAGAGUGAAGAGGAUUGUGCCAUACAGACUAGCCUUUGUAGGGCUAGAAGAGAAAUAAAGAAGUUUUCUAAGAGGUUUGCAUCA